Long non-coding RNA from Gigantopelta aegis, 282 nucleotides. RefSeq lists it as uncharacterized. The record is from RefSeq and is a predicted model, not a curated record. The transcript is spliced from 3 exons. Lineage: Eukaryota; Metazoa; Mollusca; Gastropoda; Neomphalida; Peltospiridae.
UCAGCCAAUGAUAUUUUAUUCUGGUGCCAUGGGACAUUGGUCACGGCUAGUCCGUUCUACAUUCACACUGAACAGCAAGCCAUCAGCACACGACAUAAUACUGUGCUAUUCUCAACGAUUUCUAGAUUAUUUGUUCAUCUUUUCUGCGACGGUUACACAGGAUGAGGAAUUGCCAUUAAUACUCAGCAAACAGUUCGGUCCAUAGCCCACAGCCAAGAAGGGGGCCCUCUCACAUGGACGGAAAACAAAGACUGGCUAGUUCUUGCCUAACUUACAGCGUUU